Molecule: transfer RNA, 67 nt
Filed under: Ophiura luetkenii
Lineage: Eukaryota; Metazoa; Echinodermata; Ophiuroidea; Amphilepidida; Ophiuridae
Description: tRNA-Leu
Source: RNAcentral
UCGGGUAUAGUUUAAUACAAAAUAUUUGUUUUAGGAGCAAAGGUUACUAAUCUGUUAGUUGCCCGAG